GGGCCUUUAGCUCAUUUGGGAGAGCGCCUGCCCUGCAAGCAGGAGGUAGCCGGUUCGAAGCCGGCAAGGUCCACCA
This 76-nucleotide transfer RNA is filed under the name Acidithiobacillus sp. GGI-221. Its description in RNAcentral is "tRNA-Ala". It matches the Rfam family "tRNA". Rfam says of the family: Transfer RNA (tRNA) molecules are approximately 80 nucleotides in length. Their secondary structure includes four short double-helical elements and three loops (D, anti-codon, and T loops). Further hydrogen bonds mediate the characteristic L-shaped molecular structure. tRNAs have two regions of fundamental functional importance: the anti-codon, which is responsible for specific mRNA codon recognition, and the 3' end, to which the tRNAs corresponding amino acid is attached (by aminoacyl-tRNA synthetases). tRNAs cope with the degeneracy of the genetic code in two manners: having more than one tRNA (with a specific anti-codon) for a particular amino acid; and 'wobble' base-pairing, i.e. permitting non-standard base-pairing at the 3rd anti-codon position. RNAcentral also lists the same sequence under 1 other name. The record is from RNAcentral. Lineage: Bacteria; Pseudomonadati; Pseudomonadota; Acidithiobacillia; Acidithiobacillales; Acidithiobacillaceae.